AGAGUUUGAUCAUGGCUCAGGAUGAACGCUGGCGGCGUGCUUAACUCAUGCAAGUCGAACGGACUGCGAGGAGCUUGCUCCUUGCGGUUAGUGGCGGACGGGUGAGUAACGCGUGGGUAACCUGCCUUAUACUGGGGAAUAACACAGAGAAAUCUGUGCUAAAACCGCAUAAGCUUACAGUAACGAAUGUUAGAGUAAGAAAAACUCCGGUGGUAUAAGAUGGGCCCGCGUCCGAUUAGCUAGUUGGUGGGAUAACAGCCCACCAAGGCGACGAUCGGUAACCGGCCUGAGAGGGUGACCGGUCACACUGGGACUGAGACACGGCCCAGACUCCUACGGGAGGCAGCAGUGGGGAAUAUUGCACAAUGGAGGGAACUCUGAUGCAGCAACGCCGCGUGAAGGAUGAAGGUUUUCGGAUCGUAAACUUCUAUCAGCAGGGAAGAAUGAAUGACAGUACCUGACUAAGAAGCCCCGGCUAACUACGUGCCAGCCGCCGCGGUAAUUC
RNAcentral lists this ribosomal RNA (505 nucleotides) under uncultured Bacillota bacterium. RNAcentral describes it as "bacterial SSU rRNA". It matches the Rfam family "Bacterial small subunit ribosomal RNA", at positions 8 to 526 of the family's 1533-position model. Lineage: Bacteria; Bacillati; Bacillota. The record is from RNAcentral.